This is a long non-coding RNA of Solanum lycopersicum (tomato), 445 nucleotides long. RefSeq lists it as uncharacterized. The record is from RefSeq and is a predicted model, not a curated record. Lineage: Eukaryota; Viridiplantae; Streptophyta; Magnoliopsida; Solanales; Solanaceae.
UGAAUAGUAAAGAUUUUGUUUUUAUUGUAAAUAGUUGAAUAGAGAGUUCACAUGUAAAUAGUAUUAAUAUGUUUACAAUGCUAUAAAUUGGUGAAUUAUUCUUCUAUUCAUAUUGCAUUAUACUUUCAAUCUUCCAACAAUCUUAGGUAAAUAAAGUCAUUUUAUUAUUAUGGGAGAGUCUAGCCAAAAUUUUAGUCAUUUGAAUUUUUUCUCAUCGGAUUCAACUAAUAGGUAUGAUCAAAUUCAAAAUGCAGUAAAUUAUUGUACACAAAUUGUAAAUAAUAAUGUUAUGGGUGAGGAACGAAUUGGUGAGUUGCACAAUGAUGAACAUGAAUUAACAGAUAGUGAUGAUAUGUAUGACGACCAUCACCUGUGUUGUAAGUCAUCAUAUCUGUGUGCCAUUGAGCUCUUUGAUAAUAAUCAUUAAAUUUUUUAUCUAUCGCAA